AGCUGAUCCCAGCACGCCGCGUGAGGGAUGACGGCCUUCGGGUUGUAAACCUCUUUCAGUAGGGACGAAGCGCAGUGACGGUACCUACAGAAGAAGCACCGGCCAACUACGUGCCAGCAGCCGCGGUAAUACGUAGGGUGCGAGCGUUGUCCGGAAUUAUUGGGCGUAAAGGGCUCGUAGGCGGUUUGUCGCGUCGGGAGUGAAAACACUGGGCUUAACUCAGUGCUUGCUUCCGAUACGGGCAGACUAGAGGUAUUCAGGGGAGAACGGAAUUCCUGGUGUAGCGGUGAAAUGCGCAGAUAUCAGGAGGAACACCGGUGGCGAAGGCGGUUCUCUGGGAAUUACCUGACGCUGAGGAGCGAAAGUGUGGGGAGCGAACAGGAUUAGAUACCCUGGUAGUCCACACCGUAAACGUUGGGCGCUAGGUGUGGGGUCCAUUCCACGGAUUCCGUGCCGCAGCUAACGCAUUAAGCGCCCCGCCUGGGGAGUACGGCCGCAAGGCUAAAACUCA
Molecule: ribosomal RNA, 511 nt
Filed under: Nocardioides sp.
Lineage: Bacteria; Bacillati; Actinomycetota; Actinomycetes; Propionibacteriales; Nocardioidaceae
Description: bacterial SSU rRNA
Rfam family: Bacterial small subunit ribosomal RNA
Source: RNAcentral